RNAcentral lists this ribosomal RNA (253 nucleotides) under uncultured bacterium. RNAcentral's name for it is "partial 16S ribosomal RNA". It matches the Rfam family "Bacterial small subunit ribosomal RNA", at positions 524 to 776 of the family's 1533-position model. The record is from RNAcentral.
UACGGAGGGGGCAAGCGUUGUUCGGAAUUACUGGGCGUAAAGGGCGCGUAGGCGGUUUGCUAAGUCGGAUGUGAAAACUCUGGGCUCAACCCAGAGCCUGCAUCCGAAACUGGCAGGCUAGAGUUCUGGAGGGGGUAGCGGAAUUCCUGGUGUAGCGGUGAAAUGCGUAGAUAUCAGGAGGAACACCGGUGGCGAAGGCGGCUACCUGGACAGAAACUGACGCUGAGGCGCGAAAGCUAGGGGAGCAAACAGG